GUCCCUGUCGCACAAUAGGUAGCACGUUGGACUUUUAAUCCAAAGGCUUUGAAUCUUACCUGGGAUG
Trichonephila clavata is the source of this 67-nucleotide non-coding RNA. The record is from the annotation of a GenBank genome assembly. Lineage: Eukaryota; Metazoa; Arthropoda; Arachnida; Araneae; Nephilidae.